RNAcentral lists this small nuclear RNA (153 nucleotides) under Zalophus californianus (California sea lion). RNAcentral's name for it is "U2 spliceosomal RNA (ENSZCAG00015005863.1)". It matches the Rfam family "U2 spliceosomal RNA". From Rfam's summary of the family: U2 is a small nuclear RNA (snRNA) component of the spliceosome (involved in pre-mRNA splicing). Complementary binding between U2 snRNA (in an area lying towards the 5' end but 3' to hairpin I) and the branchpoint sequence (BPS) of the intron results the bulging out of an unpaired adenosine, on the BPS, which initiates a nucleophilic attack at the intronic 5' splice site, thus starting the first of two transesterification reactions that mediate splicing. The record is from RNAcentral. Lineage: Eukaryota; Metazoa; Chordata; Mammalia; Carnivora; Otariidae.
AUCGCUUCUCGGCCUUUGGCUAAGAUCAAGUGUAAAAUUUGUGAAAUUUCUUCCACUAUAUUUUAAAAUCCCUGGAAACAGUAACUAUUUGGUUGUAUACCACCUGUUUCUUUGAGUAAUCUAUAGUCCUUGGAAAGGACUUUUCAAAGAGUC